Molecule: long non-coding RNA, 274 nt
Organism: Cygnus olor (mute swan)
Lineage: Eukaryota; Metazoa; Chordata; Aves; Anseriformes; Anatidae
Exons: 4
Source: RefSeq, a predicted model, not a curated record
GCCAGGGAUGCAUCCCACCUGGAAUUUCAAGCCUAUGUCUCGGUUUCAGGGAAGCCUCCAGGUCCCUGGCCGUGGACUGUGGUCACUGUGGUGGCUGUGCUGUCAGCGAUGGUCAUGCUGUCUGCAGGGAUCCUGUGGUUUGCGCUGUCUAGGAGGAGGAGGGCCUUGCCCAGGAAAGCCGAGGAGGACCAUUACACAGAGCUCAAGCCCUAUGAAAACUCGGACCACUACUGUGUGAUCAAGGAGAGAUUUCUGGCUGAAGAAGAUGCAGGUA